GCUGAGGGGGAGGCGGAGGGAAACCGCACCCUGCCUCUUUCCUGGGCCGAGGCCAGCCCGGGAGGAAAUGUUGAAACGAACGAAGUGUACAUCGGUCCCCAGGCCUGCGGGGUCUAGAGCUCAGGCCGCAGCGACCCCGCCCUCCCCAGCCCUUCUGGCCGGACCUCCGCCUCGGACCUGCAAGCCCUGACGCUGGGAGGCGGUUCCCGAGGGAGCCUGGACUCUCCCCCAGUUCAGCCCCGCCAAGACCUGUGCGCUUUCAGAUGAGAGCACUUGUUCACCGAAUGACCGUGCCUACUUGGGGAACAUCUGGCCCCAGAACCUGGAGGAGCAGGGCAGCCAUUGUUCAUGAGUGCGUGUGCUCAGUUCUGGACACACCGCCAUGCACGGAUGCGCGUUAACAUGCUUUGUAGAGAAGAAAUGGGGUCAGGAUAUCAUAAACUGAGCUCAUGGGUAAUGAGUAUUCAUCAAAUGCCAAGCUCUUGGUCUGAGCACUUUGCAUAUAUUAAUUUAAUCCUCACAAACCUUAAAUAGUAAGGUUUGUUACUAUGACUCAUUUUUCAGAUGAGGAGCCUGUGACACAGAGAGGUUAAGUAGCCUACCCAGGAUCACACAGCUACUAAGUCCUGGAGUCAAGAUUUGAGCCUGGCUCCGGAGCUUGUGAGGUAACGAGGCCUCCCACUUUUCCAUGUGUAUUGUUCCAUGAAUUGCUGUUUCCACUAAGAAUAUGUUCUUUUCUGCCAGCAGUGGAAGAUUCCUAGAAGAGGAACUGCUGGCUCUGAGAUUUCUAGAGACAUUGGUAAACCCUCCAUACCGUGGGGACCUUACACCAGCCUGCAGGUUCAAGCUCCAUACUGGACCUCUAUCCCCACCCAGCCCCCAGAAAAGUAGCUGGGAUUCCAGGCGUCUGCUGCCCCUUCAGGUCAUGAAGUGAGGAAGAGGGAAACUUCAACAGGCCCAUGUGGCCCUGAUAAUGGGCACGGUGACAUUUGGGCAGAGAACCCCAGGGCCCUGCAUAUACAGACCUGGGACCAGCAGAGAAUGCCCAAUGGGGGUGCUAGUGGCAUUGCCUGGCCAUGGCUCUGUCCAGCUGUGGCAUCAUAUCCCAUGGCCAAAGUGUCCAAGCAAGCCUGCUUCUGCCAUUGACCUAGGGAGGGCUGUUGACGCCUGCUUAUUUUCCAAGCCUGUUCCUCCUGCAUCGUCAAGAUUCUGAGCGCCCUCCAAAAUAAGAUCUUUUUCUGUAGUUGUUACUGUGGGUAAAAAACCCUCCUGUCUAAUUGCAAACUUCUAAUUUUUGCCAAUCUGAUAAGCAAAAAAAAAAGGGGGGGGGAAUUAUUUCAUGGAUUUAGUUUCCAUUUCCUUUUUAAUAGGGAGGUUGGGUGGAGACUCAUUGCUUUAAAUAAAGUCCAUUCUUGGCCAGA
Molecule: long non-coding RNA, 1421 nt
Organism: Cebus imitator (Panamanian white-faced capuchin)
Lineage: Eukaryota; Metazoa; Chordata; Mammalia; Primates; Cebidae
Exons: 2
Source: RefSeq, a predicted model, not a curated record